CUUUAACCGAGCAAGUAUGACUUGUUGGUUCUUAGCACCUUCCAUCUGUCAGCCUCUUGUCUCAGAUCUCAACUCUGGUCCUUGUCACCACACCACCAGUAAGUUAAAUGAGACUUUGGGAGGAUUGAACAAAAAUCACAGAACAAUUUUAAAGGGUGUUACACUAAAUAAUGCUGAUGGAGAAGGAGGGUGAAGCAGGCAAUGGAAAAACCGUGGGGUAUCACAUGGAUUACGUACCCUUCACCUUGGUACUUUUAAAGUUCACUAAAAUGAAGGAAGAAGAAGGAGAAGAAAGGAAAAAGAAGAGCAGAAAAAGAAAAUGCUCACAAUUUGGAAUGUAUUGACUUAAGAAGCCUG
Molecule: long non-coding RNA, 357 nt
Organism: Zalophus californianus (California sea lion)
Lineage: Eukaryota; Metazoa; Chordata; Mammalia; Carnivora; Otariidae
Exons: 4
Source: RefSeq, a predicted model, not a curated record